AGGGUGACACCACUCGUGUGUUCUAUAUAAUCAGUGAGGAGAAGCAUCCCUCUGCUCGAGAACAAUUUUGUUGGAGAGAUGCGCCAACUACUAAAGAAUGGGAGGGGCCCCGGGAGAGCCUCGUGUUAUUUUUCACCCCGGGAACUCCCCGCGCCCACCAUAGUAGAGGUUGCCAGAUUGUUGCCUCUUGAUUCUUAGUUGGGCCACGCCCUUUUUAUUGGAGGAGAGAUUUUUUGUUAUUCGGUAAGGAGGGAGCCUUACCCGAAAAAUGUCCGUUCUCAUUUUAAGGGAUAAAUUUUUUAGAGGGGCUAUGCAUUUCAAAAUCGACAAAAUUUUGGGCCAAUUCCCGAGUUUGGGAGCCCCCUAAAAGUUCUUGGCUGUGUGGUGUGUGGCCCCCCUUGGUGCGAUACCAACCAAUGGCCUAGCUAGAACAAAGGUAAGGCCAAUUCUUGAAAUAUGCAUCCGUAAAAAGAAAAUAAAAUCUUUGCAAUUAUUAGAUCUUGAACGAAGGAAAUUCCUAGUAAGUGCAAGUCAUCAUCUGCAUUGAUAUGUCUGCCGUUGUACACACCGCCCGUCGCUCCUACCGAUACCAGGUGAUCCGGUGAACCUUUUGGACCUUCAUUGGAAAAAUAAGUAAACCUAAUCACGAAUAGUAAUCUAGAUUAUCUCGAGGAUGGGCUCGAAUCACUGCCGCGUACCC
This 700-nucleotide ribosomal RNA is filed under the name uncultured rumen protozoa. RNAcentral's name for it is "partial 18S ribosomal RNA". The record is from RNAcentral.